AUAUCUGGAAAGUGGAGGAAGUUCCUUUAACAAUGCCUGCAUGACUGAGAAAACAAACUGGGUGCAUCUCAAGGGCCCAACUAGGCUUCUGUCAAGAGCCAAACUACAGAUAUAAAUCUCAAGUCACUUAGAAAGUUUUUUUUUUGGUGUGUGUGCCAAGUCAACUAGAAGACCAUAAUAAUUAGCUCAACUGACUAGUAUAAAGUGUUAAAACUGGGCCGAGGCCAGUUGUUUGGGAAUAGACUUCCGCCCACAUGUUCUUAGUCUCCCUCACCUUUAGGCCUGGUUACCGCCCUCUAGUGGGAAACACCUCCCCCACACACAGUGAGAUGAGGGGCCUCAGACUGUUGGCAUUAAAGAAGUCUCGGGUGAAAAAUUAGCCAAAGAGAAGUGCACAGCCAGCCAUGGGCACAACAUUGCAACCCGGUUGUCUGCUGGCUUCAAGUCAACUAGAAGACCCUAAUAAUUAGCUCAACUGACUCAUAUAAUAAAGAGUUAAAACUGGUCCGGCUGUCUGCUCUAGCCUCUUGCUCUGUCUGCUCAUGUCACCAACUCCUGGGUUGUGAGAGUGUGUCUAUUGGAGGGAAGAGGAAACAUCACAUGGUUGGCCUACAAGGGCUGCUGUAACGGUGGCAAAUUCAUCUGUACAGUAGUACAUCAGUCAUGGGAUAUUUGCUACACUUGUGAAACACCCAAGGGCUGAAGUACGAUGAUAAGUACGAAGUAAAUACCAUGGGAUGGAUCGCUGUUUAUAGAAUACUUAGCAACAGCCUGAAGUAGGCCUAUAGGUGCUGCGGUAUUUAUCGCCCCGCACACAAGGCCAAUAGUUGUUUAUCAGAUAUUGUGUUCUCUAUCUUCGACAGGGCGAGUAGGUGGUCAUGGCUUCAUCUUGCCCCAAGUGUCUGCUGUGAUCAACUGUUUACACUGCAUCAGGAGCUAAUCAGCAUAUCUGGAACCAUUCAACUGGAGGACAUUGUAAAUCAUUCAUUUCAACACUACACUUGACCUGAGCCCUAGGACCAUUCCUCAGGACUACCUGGCAUGAUGACUCCUUGCUGUCCCCAGUCCACCUGGCCGUGCUGCUGCUCCAGUUUCAACUGUACAGCACUUUGAUAUAUUAGCUGAUAUUUGCUGCCACCAGGACCAGCCUACCCUGUGUGUGUAUGGCGAGAAGACCCCAACCCUCCCCUCCAUCUCAGAGGCAGUUCCUCCUAUCUCCCUCUCCCUCUCCCCCUCUCUCGCUCUCUCUCUCUCAGAGACGUGUUUGGGCCUCGGGGACGUAGAUCUCAAUACUGUCGGCACUCUCCGUGGCUGAGUUCUGCCGAACCGAGGCCGCCCUCUUGGCGGCCAGCAGUCGCCUGCGGGCCUCCGUCCGGUGCUU
Oncorhynchus masou masou (cherry salmon) is the source of this 1381-nucleotide long non-coding RNA. RefSeq lists it as uncharacterized. The transcript has 3 exons. The record is from RefSeq and is a predicted model, not a curated record. NCBI's taxonomy places the organism in Eukaryota, Metazoa, Chordata, Actinopteri, Salmoniformes, Salmonidae.